RNAcentral lists this ribosomal RNA (377 nucleotides) under uncultured bacterium. RNAcentral describes it as "bacterial SSU rRNA". It matches the Rfam family "Bacterial small subunit ribosomal RNA", at positions 523 to 898 of the family's 1533-position model. The record is from RNAcentral.
AUACGUAGGGGGCGAGCGUUGUCCGGAAUUAUUGGGCGUAAAGCGCGCGCAGGCGGCUUCUUAAGUCUGAUGUGAAAUCUUGCGGCUCAACCGCAAAAGGUCAUUGGAAACUGGGGAGCUUGAGUGCAGAAGAGGAGAGUAGAAUUCCACGUGUAGCGGUGAAAUGCGUAGAGAUGUGGAGGAAUACCAGUGGCGAAGGCGGCUCUCUGGUCUGUUACUGACGCUGAGGUGCGAAAGCAUGGGGAGCAAACAGGAUUAGAUACCCUGGUAGUCCAUGCCGUAAACGAUGAAUGCUAGGUGUUAGGGGGGUCCAACCCCUUAGUGCUGAAGUUAACACAUUAAGCAUUCCGCCUGGGGAGUACGACCGCAAGGUUGAA